GACGAACGCUGGCGGCGUGCUUAACACAUGCAAGUCGAACGGCAAGGCACUGCUUUUGUGGGGUGCUCGAGUGGCGAACGGGUGAGUAACACGUGAGUAACCUGCCCUUGACUUUGGGAUAACUUCAGGAAACUGGGGCUAAUACCAGAUAGCAGACCCUGCUGCGUGGUGGGGGUUGGAACGUUUAGGCGGGUGGGGAUGGACUCGCGGCUUAUCGGCUUGUUGGUGGGGUAGUGGCUGGCCAAGCCUUUGACCGGUAGCCGGCCUGAGAGGGUGACCGGCCACAUGGGGCCUGAGGGACGGCGCAGAGUGCAAUGGGAGGCAGCAGGGGGGAAUAUGGCACAAUGGGCGGAAGCCUGAGGCAGAGGCGUCGGGUGUGGGAUGACGGCUUGCGGGGUGAAAACCGCUUUCGGCUGUUACGAAGCGGGAGUGACGGUAAUGGGUAAAGAAGCACCGGCUAACUACGUG
This 468-nucleotide ribosomal RNA is filed under the name uncultured bacterium. Its description in RNAcentral is "partial 16S ribosomal RNA". It matches the Rfam family "Bacterial small subunit ribosomal RNA", at positions 28 to 507 of the family's 1533-position model. The record is from RNAcentral.